Molecule: unclassified non-coding RNA, 149 nt
Organism: Pongo abelii (Sumatran orangutan)
Lineage: Eukaryota; Metazoa; Chordata; Mammalia; Primates; Hominidae
Rfam family: Metazoan signal recognition particle RNA
About the family: The signal recognition particle (SRP) is a universally conserved ribonucleoprotein. It is involved in the co-translational targeting of proteins to membranes. The eukaryotic SRP consists of a 300-nucleotide 7S RNA and six proteins: SRPs 72, 68, 54, 19, 14, and 9.
Source: Ensembl
GCUGGGUGUGGUGAUGCACCCCUGUAAUCCCAGCUACUUGGGAGGCUGAGGCAGGAGAAUUGCUUGAACCUGGGAGGCAGAGGUUGGCAGUGAGCCGAGAUCGCACCACUGCACUCCAGCCUGGGUGACAGAGCAAGACCCUGUCUCAA